Long non-coding RNA from Lotus japonicus, 1424 nucleotides. RefSeq lists it as uncharacterized. The record is from RefSeq and is a predicted model, not a curated record. Lineage: Eukaryota; Viridiplantae; Streptophyta; Magnoliopsida; Fabales; Fabaceae. The transcript has 3 exons.
UUGAUGAUUAGUGCUACGUUUUCAGCUCCAUUCAUACUUUCUUUAUUUGCUCUCAUUGUUUAUUUCAUUCUCUUGUUCUUGAGGGUGUAGAUACUUGGAAUAGUGUUUUUAAAUCUCAAUUGUCAAUUGAUGAUUAGUGCUACCUCUACCAACACUAGCUAAGCUUUUUGUGAUACCAUAAUUGCGCCUUAUCCCACUGUGGAAGCAGUGGGAAAGCUUGACAAAGUUAAUGAAAGCAUUAGCAGAACAAAUGACUUUCCCUUUGACUUAUCCCACUAUUUUAAAGCGAUCUAUUUCUUAAUUUACCACACUUAAUAAGUAUCUUGGAUAAACUAGCUAUUAGGCAUGAGUUAUAUUUCAUUUUCAUAAUACAAUAAUACACGUUAGGAUUGAAACCAAUACCUAGGAGGCUAAGACAAUAAGAGACUAAACGAAGUGAUAUAUGUUUGGGAUAUAAUAUCAAAUUUUUGAUUUCUUAUAUUCUAGCUGGAGAUAUUUACAAUGAUUUGAUUGUUCAGCUUCAUUUUGGGUUUCUUCUUUAGAUGCGAUAAAUUAAUGGCUGAUAACAUGAAACUCAGCCUCUAAAGGAAGAAAAGCAAUUGAUUUCAACAUUUUAUCCAAAAUGGUUGUUGAAUUGGUGUUACUGUUGAGCUCUAUGUGAUACUUUGGGGGAUGUUUAUUUAUAUUCUGAUAGUUUCAAAACUGUGCCUUGCUUUAUCAAUUGUUUGUUUGUAGGUGUUUACGCCGCAGAAGGUUCAAAGGUGAUAUGUUUGAGAUCAAGGAAGAAUACAUUGAUGGAGUCAUUACCAAGGACGACAAAAGAGAAAUAAUCAAUGGGGAGACAUCCUAUUAUGGUCAAGUCUGAUAAGUGGUGAAUGAAAAUAGCUUGAAAAGGGGGAUUGUGCAUUUGAUCACAGAAGGUACUUUUAAUUUAAUACUUGCCAAUAACUGGGAAAUAUUUGCUUAUUGUCAUUGCUUUUAAUAUUGUGCUUAAAUGUCUUUCAGAGUUAGUAAUUUAAAGUAAAGUGUCUCAGUGUUAUCAAAUAGCGGCUAUAGCGGCGCUAUGCCGCUAUAGCGUAGCGGAUUUUUGGCUAAUCGUGACGCCGCUAUUGCCCGCUAUAGCGCGCUAUUCCCGCUAUUCGCGACAAGUUUAAGCUUUAUAGCACAGGUUCUCAACGUGUAUGCUAUGCACUACCACUUGCGAAGACAAUGGAGAACCAUUCGUGAAGUUUAACCUAUAUGAGUAUGGAGAAAGACUCAAAGACGGUGGAGGAACGAUUGGAGAAGAAGGUUGAUGCUCUUUGGGAUGAGCUGAUGUGCAUCAUUAAAGGCUUCUUCGCUAGUUGAAACUCUUCUUAAACUUUAUCUUUAUCGUUUGACUAUUUUAAAUUUCUUUGGAAUUUUACGGAUUUAUACUUGGAUUA